ACACAUGCAAGUCGAACGAGAGAGAGGGAGCUUGCUUCCUCAAUCGAGUGGCGAACGGGUGAGUAACGCGUGAGGAACCUGCCUCAAAGAGGGGGACAACAGUUGGAAACGACUGCUAAUACCGCAUAAGCCCACGGCUCGGCAUCGAGCAGAGGGAAAAGGAGCAAUCCGCUUUGAGAUGGCCUCGCGUCCGAUUAGCUAGUUGGUGAGGUAACGGCCCACCAAGGCGACGAUCGGUAGCCGGACUGAGAGGUUGAACGGCCACAUUGGGACUGAGACACGGCCCAGACUCCUACGGGAGGCAGCAGUGGGGAAUAUUGCACAAUGGGGGAAACCCUGAUGCAGCGACGCCGCGUGGAGGAAGAAGGUCUUCGGAUUGUAAACUCCUGUUGUUGAGGAAGAUAAUGACGGUACUCAACAAGGAAGUGACGGCUAACUACGUGCCAGCAGCCGCGGUAAAACGUAGGUCACAAGCGUUGUCCGGAAUUACUGGGUGUAAAGGGAGCGCAGGCGGGAAGACAAGUUGGAAGUGAAAUCUAUGGGCUCAACCCGUAAACUGCUUUCAAAACUGUUUUUCUUGAGUAGUGCAGAGGUAGGCGGAAUUCCCGGUGUAGCGGUGGAAUGCGUAGAUAUCGGGAGGAACACCAGUGGCGAAGGCGGCCUACUGGGCACCAACUGACGCUGAGGCUCGAAAGUGUGGGUAGCAAACAGGAUUAGAUACCCUGGUAGUCCACACCGUAAACGAUGAUUACUAGGUGUUGGAGGAUUGACCCCUUCAGUGCCGCAGUUAACACAAUAAG
RNAcentral lists this ribosomal RNA (800 nucleotides) under uncultured bacterium. Its description in RNAcentral is "bacterial SSU rRNA". It matches the Rfam family "Bacterial small subunit ribosomal RNA", at positions 51 to 864 of the family's 1533-position model. The record is from RNAcentral.